GACGAAGGGGGCUAGCGUUGUUCGGAAUUACUGGGCGUAAAGCGCGUGUAGGCGGUUGCCCAAGUCGGGUGUGAAAGCCUUGAGCUCAACUCAAGAAAUGCACUCGGUACUGGGUGACUAGAGGACCGGAGAGGAUAGUGGAAUUCCCAGUGUAGUGGUGAAAUACGUAGAGAUUGGGAAGAACACCAGUGGCGAAGGCGGCUAUCUGGACGGUUUCUGACGCUGAGACGCGAAAGCGUGGGGAGCAAACAGG
Molecule: ribosomal RNA, 253 nt
Filed under: uncultured bacterium
Lineage: Bacteria
Description: partial 16S ribosomal RNA
Rfam family: Bacterial small subunit ribosomal RNA
Source: RNAcentral